Molecule: ribosomal RNA, 659 nt
Filed under: Streptomyces sp. FXJ1.332
Lineage: Bacteria; Bacillati; Actinomycetota; Actinomycetes; Kitasatosporales; Streptomycetaceae
Description: bacterial SSU rRNA
Rfam family: Bacterial small subunit ribosomal RNA
Source: RNAcentral
UGCAGUCGAACGAUGAACCACUUCGGUGGGGAUUAGUGGCGAACGGGUGAGUAACACGUGGGUAAUCUGCCCUUCACUCUGGGACAAGCCCUGGAAACGGGGUCUAAUACCGGAUAUCACUACCGCGGGCAUCUGUGGUGGUUGAAAGCUCCGGCGGUGAAGGAUGAGCCCGCGGCCUAUCAGCUUGUUGGUGAGGUAACGGCUCACCAAGGCGACGACGGGUAGCCGGCCUGAGAGGGCGACCGGCCACACUGGGACUGAGACACGGCCCAGACUCCUACGGGAGGCAGCAGUGGGGAAUAUUGCACAAUGGGCGCAAGCCUGAUGCAGCGACGCCGCGUGAGGGAUGACGGCCUUCGGGUUGUAAACCUCUUUCAGCAGGGAAGAAGCGAAAGUGACGGUACCUGCAGAAGAAGCGCCGGCUAACUACGUGCCAGCAGCCGCGGUAAUACGUAGGGCGCAAGCGUUGUCCGGAAUUAUUGGGCGUAAAGAGCUCGUAGGCGGCUUGUCACGUCGGGUGUGAAAGCCCGGGGCUUAACCCCGGGUCUGCAUUCGAUACGGGCAGGCUAGAGUGUGGUAGGGGAGAUCGGAAUUCCUGGUGUAGCGGUGAAAUGCGCAGAUAUCAGGAGGAACACCGGUGGCGAAGGCGGAUCUCUGGG